RNAcentral lists this ribosomal RNA (497 nucleotides) under uncultured bacterium. RNAcentral describes it as "partial 16S ribosomal RNA". It matches the Rfam family "Bacterial small subunit ribosomal RNA", at positions 28 to 507 of the family's 1533-position model. The record is from RNAcentral.
GAUGAACGCUGGCGGCGUGCCUAAUACAUGCAAGUCGAGCGAACAGACGAGGAGCUUGCUCCUCUGACGUUAGCGGCGGACGGGUGAGUAACACGUGGAUAACCUACCUAUAAGACUGGGAUAACUUCGGGAAACCGGAGCUAAUACCGGAUAAUAUAUUGAACCGCAUGGUUCAAUAGUGAAAGACGGUUUUGCUGUCACUUAUAGAUGGAUCCGCGCCGCAUUAGCUAGUUGGGAAGGUAACGGCUUACCAAGGCAACGAUGCGUAGCCGACCUGAGAGGAUGAUCGGCCACAAUGGAACUGAGACACGGUCCAGACUCCUACGGGAGGCAGCAGUAGGGAAUCUUCCGCAAUGGGCGAAAGCCUGACGGAGCAACGCCGCGUGAGUGAUGAAGGUCUUCGGAUCGUAAAACUCUGUUAUUAGGGAAGAAAAAAUGUGUAAGUAACUAUGCACGUCUUGACGGUACCUAAUCAGAAAGCCACGGCUAACUACGUG